RNAcentral lists this long non-coding RNA (1110 nucleotides) under Pan troglodytes (chimpanzee). Its description in RNAcentral is "long non-coding RNA NONPTRT014816". Lineage: Eukaryota; Metazoa; Chordata; Mammalia; Primates; Hominidae. The record is from RNAcentral.
GAGAGACAAUCCUAAUCACACAAGUCCUUAAAAGCUGAGAACUUCCUCCUGCUGGGGACAGGACAGAUGAGGCAGAAGGGGAGGUUAGGGAGGUUUGAAGAGUGAGAAGAACUUCUGCAGUGGCUGACUUGGAAGAUGAAGGAGGUUAUGAACCAGGGAAUGGGGGCAGCCUCUAGAGGCUGAGAACCUGCUGACACCUACCCACAACCACUAAGGAAAUGAAGACUUUAAUUCCACAACUGCAUGCAACUAAACUCAGCCAACAACCUGAAUAAGUCUGAAAAAGGCUUCUCCAGAGCCUCCAGAUAAGAGGCCAGGCUGGCGACACACCUUGAUUUUGACCUUGUGAGACCUAGAGCAGAGAAACUAGCCAAGAUCACUCAGACUUCUGAUCUACAGAACUGUGAGACCGUAAAUUUAUGUUGUAUUAAGCCACUAAUUGUGUGGGAAUUUGUUACAGGAGCAAUAGAAAAUGAAUACACCGUCUGAUGUAGUUUAAUCAGUUGACAUUAGGGGUGACACCAAGAUGUGCUACACUGAACCCAACUUCUGCAUGUUUAAGACAAGACGCAAGGUCAAAAAUUUACAUCAGGUAUCUGAAUGUGUAGCAUAUACAACUGAGUGUUGAAAGAAGACAAAAUCGUUUUCAUCACGAAGAAUAUGUGCUCAGUAAGAAUCAGAAUGUUCAAUUGUGUGAAGGUGGGAGAUGGGAAGAUUGGUAUUAUGGCCUGGAUCCAGAAAUCAGAUCACGAAGAAGUUUUUUACAAUGAGCAGAACACUCAACCUGAAAGCAGAAUGGAUUGAGUCACUGCAGCGUGGCAGUGGAAUGGUGCUUGAUGUUGGCAAAGGAAACAUGUACUUCUAGACUGGACAGUUUUCCCUCAGUUUACAGUUUCCAAAUAGAGACAUCACUUUGAAAUAACAUGGAGAACAUACGUGGAUGUACUGAACGAAGAAUAAAGUCUGUGUUGCAGUCCUGUCUCCAUUGACUUUUACAAAUAUGGCUUUGGAUGAAUCACCUAACUUUUAUUUUUGAGAAUUUACACUUACCAUGUAUAAAAUGAUAGUGCUAAUAUGUUUGCUGCCUACCCCAUUGGGUUUUGUGAGGAA